AAGCAGAAGAAAAUGCCCCAGAAGAUAAGCAAGAAAUACAACUCUGUACUGACAAAAAUUUGGGUAGCAUUCUUUGUGACACCACAGCAUCAAUGAAGCAGCAGUAUUAUUUCUUCCAACUACAUGCUGUCAAAGAAGGAAACACUGCUUUCAUUACUUAGUUGACUGAAGUUCAUCUUCAAGAGCAUUUAUCUUGAGAAUUGUACCUGGAUGCACCAGUUCUCAUGCUUGUGCGUGUCGGAAAAGGAAAGUCAGCUGCCAUUUUGUGAUCUGCCCUCUGGAGAUACCCGCUUCAUAAGGAACUGAAGGACGACUCUGGCCAAGAGCCAGUGAGAAACUGAAUACCUCUGUCUAUCAACCCACAAAGAACUGAUUCUGACAAAUAUCACACAAGUUAGUUUGCAAGCAGAUCCCCCUCAAGUUGAACCUUCAGAUGAUAUUACAGCCUUAAUUGCAAACUCAUGACAUAUCUUGAGGUAAAGGCAAUCAAUUAAGCUGCACUUGUGUCUCUGAUUAAAAACAAAACAAUGGAAAAAUAUUUUUUGAAGUCCCUAAUUUUUGGGUAAUUUACCACAGAGCAGUAGAUAACUAAUUCAUCAGGAAAAAAAAAAAAGAAUACAAAGAAUGUCACAUAAUAAUAAAGGGAUCAAUUCACUAAAAUUAUAUAGUAAUUGUAGGAAUAUAUAUACCUAAAAAUCAAGAUGUGGCAUAUGCAUAAAACUGAAUAAUAUUAAAGCCAGACUCAGAAAUGAUACAUAUUGUACGAUUCCUUUUAUGUAAUAGUUUGGAAAGGGCAAAACUCUAGGGACAGAAAACAGAUCAAUGUUUGCCCAGCACUGAGGGAAGCUGAGAAUGUAAAAGUUGAUUACAAAAGUGCAGAAGGGAACAUUUUUGGAUGAUGGACAUCUUCUUCAUCUUGAUUGUGAUGGUGGCUACAUGACUGUAUAAAUAUAUCAAAAUUUACUUAAAUUUACAUCCAAAAUGGUGAAUUCUAACCUAUGAACCUUAUACUUCAUAAACCUGACUAAAACCAAACCAAAUAUAAAACAGUAAACAGAUUAUGCCAGCUAUUAUAGUGUGAAUGGUAGACUGUAUGAGAUAAUUGGCAUGAAAAGACCAAUAUGGAGGCAGUAAUCCAAUGGGAAGAGGAUGAUAGCAAUGGAUAAAGUAGCAUCUUGCAGGUAAGCAGCUAGAAUGGUGUAAUGGAGUGGAUUGAUUGACGAUGCGUAGUUACCUUGCAUAUAUAUAUAUACACACACACAACUGAAUAGAGAAAACUUAUGAAUCCUAAGUUUCUAAUUUGUAAAACAUGAUAGACGACGGCCAUUUACUGUAAUAGAGCAGGCUGCAGAAAAAAAGAAGCCUUUGGAGACAGUCAAAAGUUCAGUUUUAGAUAUAUUUUGGUUAUCAGUAGAAUAUCUCAACAAAAAAAUCAAGUAAUAGUAAUUACUUAAGUAACCUUUACUCUGUGCCAGGUAAACUUUUAAGUGUUUUAUAUAGGGAUGGACUGUAUAAACUCAUUUCAUCCUCAAUACAGCCAUAUGAGGUAAGCCCUAUUAUUGUCAUGAUAUUAUAAUGAGAAAAAUCUAUGACACUAAGUGGUUAAGUGAUUUGCCCCAAAUCACACAAUUGUUAAGUGUCAGGGCUGGGUUGGUUGCAGAAUCCACGCUCUUAUAUGUUACAUCAUACUGAUUCUUUUAAGUAAAGUGGUGGAUAUAUGAAUCUUGAACUCAGAGGAUAAGACUGGAAAAUUAAUUUGAACUAUCUCCAUAAGCAGUGGCAUUUUGAUCCAUAAGUAUGAAUGAAAUAUCUUUAGAUCAGAGUGUUUGUAGAAAAGAUAAGGAAGUCAAGGUCUAAGCUGUGGGCUUGGAAUUUAGGUGGAAAACGUGGAGCUAGCAAAGGAGGCUAAGGAGCAGUGGCUACUGACAUAGGGGAAAAUUGGAAUGUGUGGUGUCAUGAAGUCAAGCUAGAGAGGUUUCAAGUACAGGAUACUUGUUUGGGUAAUAAUACUGAGAGGCUAACAUAGGUGGUAUCACCGUUUUAUACAAAGGCAGGCUACUGUACCAAAAAGA
This is a long non-coding RNA of Diceros bicornis minor, 2072 nucleotides long. RefSeq lists it as uncharacterized. The record is from RefSeq and is a predicted model, not a curated record. NCBI's taxonomy places the organism in Eukaryota, Metazoa, Chordata, Mammalia, Perissodactyla, Rhinocerotidae. The transcript is spliced from 3 exons.